Molecule: ribosomal RNA, 223 nt
Filed under: uncultured bacterium
Lineage: Bacteria
Description: partial 16S ribosomal RNA
Rfam family: Bacterial small subunit ribosomal RNA
Source: RNAcentral
GAAUCUCGAAAGCCUAUCUCAGUUCGGAUUGGAGGCUGAAACCCGCCUCCAUGAAGUUGGAUUCGCUAGUAAUCGCGCAUCAGCCAUGGCGCGGUGAAUACGUUCCCGGGCCUUGUACACACCGCCCGUCAAGCCAUGGGAGCCGGGGGUGCCUGAAGUUCGUUACCGCAAGGAUCGACCUAGGGCAAAACUGGUGACUGGGGCUAAGUCGUAACAAGGUACC